This 328-nucleotide long non-coding RNA is filed under the name Mytilus galloprovincialis (Mediterranean mussel). Lineage: Eukaryota; Metazoa; Mollusca; Bivalvia; Mytilida; Mytilidae. The record is from RNAcentral.
AUUCAUAACAUGUAACACGCUUUGUUGAGAAAAAAUGGAGAUGGCCAAUCAUGGCACAGCGGAUAAUUAAAUGAAGUUUAUACAAACGAUAUAAUUCAUGAGGUUUUGCUAUUCUCGGUUGAAAAAACGAACGUAAAUUACAUAUUGUAAAUAUUAAACCGUUGGUUUUCCCGUUUGAAUGGUGUUUACACUAGUAAUUUUGGGGCCCUUUAUAGCUUGUUGUUCAGUGUGAGCCAAGGCUCCGUAUUGAAGGCCUUACAUUGACCUAUAAUGGUUUACUUUUAUAAAUUGUUAUUUGGAUGGAGAGUUGUCUUAUUGGCACUCACAC